This 248-nucleotide ribosomal RNA is filed under the name Mycenella sp. Its description in RNAcentral is "partial large subunit ribosomal RNA". It matches the Rfam family "Eukaryotic large subunit ribosomal RNA", at positions 104 to 344 of the family's 3401-position model. The record is from RNAcentral. Lineage: Eukaryota; Fungi; Basidiomycota; Agaricomycetes; Agaricales.
AAAGCUCAAAUUUAAAAUCUGGCGGUCAUAUGGCUGUCCGAGUUGUAAUUUAGAGAAGUGCUAUCCGCGCUGGACCGUGUACAAGUCUCCUGGAAUGGAGCGUCAUAGAGGGUGAGAAUCCCGUCUUUGACACGGACUACCAGGGCUUUGUGAUGCGCUCUCGAAGAGUCGAGUUGUUUGGGAAUGCAGCUCAAAAUGGGUGGUAAAUUCCAUCUAAAGCUAAAUAUUGGCGAGAGACCGAUAGCGAA